Molecule: ribosomal RNA, 468 nt
Filed under: uncultured bacterium
Lineage: Bacteria
Description: partial 16S ribosomal RNA
Rfam family: Bacterial small subunit ribosomal RNA
Source: RNAcentral
GACGAACGCUGGCGGCGUGCUUAACACAUGCAAGUCGAACGGAAAGGCCCUGCUUUUGUUGGGUGCUCGAGUGGCGAACGGGUGAGUAACACGUGAGUAACCUGCCCUUGACUUUGGGAUAACUUCAGGAAACUGGGGCUAAUACCGGAUAGGAGCUCCUGCUGCAUGGUGGGGGUUGGAAAGUUUCGGCGGUUGGGGAUGGUCUCGCGGCUUAUCAGCUUGUUGGUGGGGUAGUGGCAUACCAAGGCUUUGACGGGUAGCCGGCCUGAGAGGGGGACCGGCGACAUGGGGACUGAGAGACGGCGCAGAAGGGAACGGGAGGCAGCAGGGGGGAGCAUGGCGGAGUGGGCGGGAGCGAGAGAUGAAGAUCCUCGGUGCGGGAUGACGGGUUAUGGGUGAAAAACAGUUGUGGCCGGAGACGAGGCGAGAGUGACGGUAACGGGUAAGAAAGCAACGGCUAACUACGUG